Molecule: ribosomal RNA, 253 nt
Filed under: uncultured bacterium
Lineage: Bacteria
Description: partial 16S ribosomal RNA
Rfam family: Bacterial small subunit ribosomal RNA
Source: RNAcentral
UACAGAGGGUGCGAGCGUUAAUCGGAUUUACUGGGCGUAAAGGGCGCGUAGGCGGUGAGAUGAGUGUGAUGUGAAAGCCCCGGGCUUAACCUGGGAAGGGCAUCACAAACGAUCUGACUGGAGUAGAUGAGAGGGUGGCGGAAUUUCCGGUGUAGCGGUGAAAUGCGUAGAGAUCGGAAGGAACGUCGAUGGCGAAGGCAGCCACCUGGCAUCAUACUGACGCUGAAGCGCGAAAGCGUGGGGAUCGAACAGG